This 538-nucleotide ribosomal RNA is filed under the name uncultured bacterium. Its description in RNAcentral is "bacterial SSU rRNA". It matches the Rfam family "Bacterial small subunit ribosomal RNA", at positions 777 to 1314 of the family's 1533-position model. The record is from RNAcentral.
AAUAGAUACCCGGGUAGUCCACGCCGUAAACGAUGAGUGCUAAGUGUUAGAGGGUUUCCGCCCUUUAGUGGCUGAAGUUAACGCAUUAAGCACUCCGCCUGGGGAGUACGGCCGCAAGGCUGAAACUCAAAGGAAUUGACGGGGGCCCGCACAAGCGGUGGAGCAUGUGGUUUAAUUCGAAGCAACGCGAAGAACCUUACCAGGUCUUGACAUCCUCUGACGACCCUAGAGAUAGGGCUUCUCCUUCGGGAGCAGAGUGACAGGUGGUGCAUGGUUGUCGUCAGCUCGUGUCGUGAGAUGUUGGGUUAAGUCCCGCAACGAGCGCAACCCUUGAUCUUAGUUGCCAUCAUUAAGUUGGGCACUCUAAGGUGACUGCCGGUGACAAACCGGAGGAAGGUGGGGAUGACGUCAAAUCAUCAUGCCCCUUAUGACCUGGGCUACACACGUGCUACAAUGGACGGUACAAAGAGCUGCAAGACCGCGAGGUGGAGCUAAUCUCAUAAAACCGUUCUCAGUUCGGAUUGUAGGCUGCUAACCG